RNAcentral lists this ribosomal RNA (519 nucleotides) under Toxomerus pulchellus. RNAcentral's name for it is "eukaryotic LSU rRNA". Lineage: Eukaryota; Metazoa; Arthropoda; Insecta; Diptera; Syrphidae. The record is from RNAcentral.
AUAUCCAUUAUGGAAAAUUCAAUGCUAAUAUUACAAUAUAUAUCAUAUUUGUAAGAAUAGUGUGCAAUUUUUCCAUAUAAGGACAUUGUAAUCUGUUAAUGUAAUAAUUAUUUAUCAAAAGAUUCUUUACUUAAGUUUAUUCAAAUUGUUUAUUCUCGGAUAUUCAACAUAAAAUAAAUGUAUUGAAUUGGAUAAAUCAUUGACAGAUAUAAUUAUAUAAUGUGCUUAAAUUCUACGGAAUUUUACAAUGAUAGAUGAAUCUAUUGAUUUGUUUAUUUAUUUGUCUGCACUAUUAUGAUUAACAAUGCGAUAGAUUCAGGAUACCUUCGGGACCCGUCUUGAAACACGGACCAAGGAGUCUAACAUAUGUGCAAGUCAUUGGGUAUUUAUAAUAAAACCCAAUGGCAUAAUUAACUUAACUUUAUUUAUAAUGGGAUUAGUUUAUAAUUUAUUAUGAAUUAUUUAUUCAAUCCCGGGGCGUUCUAUACAGUUAUGUAUAAUGGUUUUAUAUUAUUUAUA